UACGAGGGGAGCAAGCGUUGUUCGGAUUUACUGGGCGUAAAGCGUGUGUAGGCGGCAGCCUAAGUCUUGUGUGAAAUCUCAUGGCCCAACCAUGUUUUGUCACAAGAUACUGGGUUGCUAGAGUGUGAGAGAGAGAGAUGGAAUUCUCGGAGUAGCGGUGGAAUGCGUAGAUCUCGAGAGGAACGUCGAUGGCGAAGGCAGUCUCUUGGCUCAUUACUGACGCUCGAACACGAAGGCGUGGGUAGCAAACAGG
This 253-nucleotide ribosomal RNA is filed under the name uncultured bacterium. RNAcentral describes it as "partial 16S ribosomal RNA". It matches the Rfam family "Bacterial small subunit ribosomal RNA", at positions 524 to 776 of the family's 1533-position model. The record is from RNAcentral.